RNAcentral lists this ribosomal RNA (616 nucleotides) under uncultured bacterium. RNAcentral's name for it is "bacterial SSU rRNA". It matches the Rfam family "Bacterial small subunit ribosomal RNA", at positions 58 to 665 of the family's 1533-position model. The record is from RNAcentral.
CAAGUCGAACGGAAACGAUGGGAGCUUGCUCCCAGGCGUCGAGUGGCGGACGGGUGAGUAAUACUUAGGAAUCUACCCAGUAGCGGGGGACAACUCGAGGAAACUCGAGCUAAUACCGCAUACGCCCUACGGGGGAAAGCAGGGGAUCUUCGGACCUUGCACUAUUGGAUGAGCCUAAGUCGGAUUAGCUUGUUGGUGAGGUAAAGGCUCACCAAGGCGACGAUCCGUAGCUGGUCUGAGAGGACGAUCAGCCACACUGGGACUGAGACACGGCCCAGACUCCUACGGGAGGCAGCAGUGGGGAAUAUUGGACAAUGGGGGCAACCCUGAUCCAGCAAUGCCGCGUGUGUGAAGAAGGCCUGCGGGUUGUAAAGCACCUUCAGUAGAGAAGAAAAGCUUACGGUUAAUACCCGUGGGUCUUGACGUAACCUACAGAAGAAGCUCCGGCUAACUCCGUGCCAGCAGCCGCGGUAAUACGGAGGGAGCGAGCGUUAAUCGGAAUUACUGGGCGUAAAGCGCGCGUAGGCGGUUUUGUAAGUCGGAUGUGAAAGCCCCGGGCUCAACCCGGGAAUUGCAUUCGAUACUGCAGAACUAGAGUAUGGUAGAGGGAAGUGGA